AACCCCUAUUGCUAGUUACCAUCAUUAAGUUGGGGACUCUAGCGAGACUGCCAGUGAUAAACUGGAGGAAGUGGGGAUGACGUCAAAUCAUCAUGCCCCUUAUGACCUGGGCUACAAACGUGGUACAAAUGGCUGGAACAAAGGGAUGCGAAGCAGUGAUGUGGAGCGAAACCCAUAAAAACAGUCUCAGUUCGGAUUGAAGUCUGCAACUCGACUUCAUGAAGUCGGAAUCGCUAGUAAUCGCGGAUCAGAACGCCGCGGUGAAUACGUUCUCGGGGUUU
Molecule: ribosomal RNA, 281 nt
Filed under: uncultured Acholeplasma sp.
Lineage: Bacteria; Bacillati; Mycoplasmatota; Mollicutes; Acholeplasmatales; Acholeplasmataceae
Description: partial 16S ribosomal RNA
Rfam family: Bacterial small subunit ribosomal RNA
Source: RNAcentral